Molecule: long non-coding RNA, 370 nt
Filed under: Cricetulus griseus (Chinese hamster)
Lineage: Eukaryota; Metazoa; Chordata; Mammalia; Rodentia; Cricetidae
Description: lncRNA (ENSCGRG00015033858.1)
Source: RNAcentral
CGGCGCACUGCGGCACACUGCGGCACACUGCGGCACACUGAGGCACACUGCGGAGCACUGCGGAGCACUGCGGCACACUGCGGCGCACUGCGGCACACUGCGGCGCACUGCGGCACACUGGCGCACUGCGGCACACUGCGGCGCACUGCGGAGCACUGCGGCACACUGCUUGCCUGUGACCUAUGCCCAUCUCCAGAUUAGUGCCCUCUGGUUCGAAUGCUGAGCAAAUGGCCACCGUACCACAUUGUCGAGGGGAUAAAGACAAGGUGGGGAAAACCUGUCCAAGUUUAGCCCUCACACGUUUUCCUCCAAGCAUUUUUGAGCCACUGCUGAUUGAGUCUUAGGUCUCCGAGGCCACAGACAGUCGCGG